UUACCAAGGCUUGACAUACACCGGUAACGCCCAGAGAUGGUGCCCCUUUGUGGUCGGUGUACAGGUGGUGCAUGGUUGUCGUCAGCUCGUGUCGUGAGAUGUUGGGUUAAGUCCCGCAACGAGCGCAACCCUCGUCCUAUGUUGCCAGCGGGUCAUGCCGGGGACUCAUGGGAGACUGCCGGGGUCAACUCGGAGGAAGGUGGGGAUGACGUCAAAUCAUCAUGCCCCUUAUGUCUUGGGCUUCACGCAUGCUACAAUGGCCGGUACAAAGGGCUGCGAUACCGCGAGGUGGAGCGAAUCCCAGAAAGCCGGUCUCAGUUCGGAUUGGGGUCUGCAACUCGACCCCAUGAAGUCGGAGUCGCUAGUAAUCGCAGAUCAGCAACGCUGCGGUGAAUACGUUCCCGGGCCUU
Molecule: ribosomal RNA, 410 nt
Filed under: uncultured Cellulomonas sp.
Lineage: Bacteria; Bacillati; Actinomycetota; Actinomycetes; Micrococcales; Cellulomonadaceae
Description: bacterial SSU rRNA
Rfam family: Bacterial small subunit ribosomal RNA
Source: RNAcentral